This 2900-nucleotide ribosomal RNA is filed under the name Escherichia coli. Its description in RNAcentral is "bacterial LSU rRNA". It matches the Rfam family "Bacterial large subunit ribosomal RNA". Lineage: Bacteria; Pseudomonadati; Pseudomonadota; Gammaproteobacteria; Enterobacterales; Enterobacteriaceae. The record is from RNAcentral.
UUAAGCGACUAAGCGUACACGGUGGAUGCCCUGGCAGUCAGAGGCGAUGAAGGACGUGCUAAUCUGCGAUAAGCGUCGGUAAGGUGAUAUGAACCGUUAUAACCGGCGAUUUCCGAAUGGGGAAACCCAGUGUGAUUCGUCACACUAUCAUUAACUGAAUCCAUAGGUUAAUGAGGCGAACCGGGGGAACUGAAACAUCUAAGUACCCCGAGGAAAAGAAAUCAACCGAGAUUCCCCCAGUAGCGGCGAGCGAACGGGGAGGAGCCCAGAGCCUGAAUCAGUGUGUGUGUUAGUGGAAGCGUCUGGAAAGGCGCGCGAUACAGGGUGACAGCCCCGUACACAAAAAUGCACAUAUUGUGAGCUCGAUGAGUAGGGCGGGACACGUGGUAUCCUGUCUGAAUAUGGGGGGACCAUCCUCCAAGGCUAAAUACUCCUGACUGACCGAUAGUGAACCAGUACCGUGAGGGAAAGGCGAAAAGAACCCCGGCGAGGGGAGUGAAAAAGAACCUGAAACCGUGUACGUACAAGCAGUGGGAGCACGCUUCGGCGUGUGACUGCGUACCUUUUGUAUAAUGGGUCAGCGACUUAUAUUCUGUAGCAAGGUUAACCGAAUAGGGGAGCCGAAGGGAAACCGAGUCUUAACUGGGCGUUAAGUUGCAGGGUAUAGACCCGAAACCCGGUGAUCUAGCCAUGGGCAGGUUGAAGGUUGGGUAACACUAACUGGAGGACCGAACCGACUAAUGUUGAAAAAUUAGCGGAUGACUUGUGGCUGGGGGUGAAAGGCCAAUCAAACCGGGAGAUAGCUGGUUCUCCCCGAAAGCUAUUUAGGUAGCGCCUCGUGAAUUCAUCUCCGGGGGUAGAGCACUGUUUCGGCAAGGGGUCAUCCCGACUUACCAACCCGAUGCAAACUGCGAAUACCGGAGAAUGUUAUCACGGGAGACACACGGCGGGUGCUAACGUCCGUCGUGAAGAGGGAAACAACCCAGACCGCCAGCUAAGGUCCCAAAGUCAUGGUUAAGUGGGAAACGAUGUGGGAAGGCCCAGACAGCCAGGAUGUUGGCUUAGAAGCAGCCAUCAUUUAAAGAAAGCGUAAUAGCUCACUGGUCGAGUCGGCCUGCGCGGAAGAUGUAACGGGGCUAAACCAUGCACCGAAGCUGCGGCAGCGACACUGUGUGUUGUUGGGUAGGGGAGCGUUCUGUAAGCCUGUGAAGGUGUACUGUGAGGUAUGCUGGAGGUAUCAGAAGUGCGAAUGCUGACAUAAGUAACGAUAAAGCGGGUGAAAAGCCCGCUCGCCGGAAGACCAAGGGUUCCUGUCCAACGUUAAUCGGGGCAGGGUGAGUCGACCCCUAAGGCGAGGCCGAAAGGCGUAGUCGAUGGGAAACAGGUUAAUAUUCCUGUACUUGGUGUUACUGCGAAGGGGGGACGGAGAAGGCUAUGUUGGCCGGGCGACGGUUGUCCCGGUUUAAGCGUGUAGGCUGGUUUUCCAGGCAAAUCCGGAAAAUCAAGGCUGAGGCGUGAUGACGAGGCACUACGGUGCUGAAGCAACAAAUGCCCUGCUUCCAGGAAAAGCCUCUAAGCAUCAGGUAACAUCAAAUCGUACCCCAAACCGACACAGGUGGUCAGGUAGAGAAUACCAAGGCGCUUGAGAGAACUCGGGUGAAGGAACUAGGCAAAAUGGUGCCGUAACUUCGGGAGAAGGCACGCUGAUAUGUAGGUGAAGUCCCUCGCGGAUGGAGCUGAAAUCAGUCGAAGAUACCAGCUGGCUGCAACUGUUUAUUAAAAACACAGCACUGUGCAAACACGAAAGUGGACGUAUACGGUGUGACGCCUGCCCGGUGCCGGAAGGUUAAUUGAUGGGGUCAGCGCAAGCGAAGCUCUUGAUCGAAGCCCCGGUAAACGGCGGCCGUAACUAUAACGGUCCUAAGGUAGCGAAAUUCCUUGUCGGGUAAGUUCCGACCUGCACGAAUGGCGUAAUGAUGGCCAGGCUGUCUCCACCCGAGACUCAGUGAAAUUGAACUCGCUGUGAAGAUGCAGUGUACCCGCGGCAAGACGGAAAGACCCCGUGAACCUUUACUAUAGCUUGACACUGAACAUUGAGCCUUGAUGUGUAGGAUAGGUGGGAGGCUUUGAAGUGUGGACGCCAGUCUGCAUGGAGCCGACCUUGAAAUACCACCCUUUAAUGUUUGAUGUUCUAACGUUGACCCGUGAUCCGGGUUGCGGACAGUGUCUGGUGGGUAGUUUGACUGGGGCGGUCUCCUCCUAAAGAGUAACGGAGGAGCACGAAGGUUGGCUAAUCCUGGUCGGACAUCAGGAGGUUAGUGCAAUGGCAUAAGCCAGCUUGACUGCGAGCGUGACGGCGCGAGCAGGUGCGAAAGCAGGUCAUAGUGAUCCGGUGGUUCUGAAUGGAAGGGCCAUCGCUCAACGGAUAAAAGGUACUCCGGGGAUAACAGGCUGAUACCGCCCAAGAGUUCAUAUCGACGGCGGUGUUUGGCACCUCGAUGUCGGCUCAUCACAUCCUGGGGCUGAAGUAGGUCCCAAGGGUAUGGCUGUUCGCCAUUUAAAGUGGUACGCGAGCUGGGUUUAGAACGUCGUGAGACAGUUCGGUCCCUAUCUGCCGUGGGCGCUGGAGAACUGAGGGGGGCUGCUCCUAGUACGAGAGGACCGGAGUGGACGCAUCACUGGUGUUCGGGUUGUCAUGCCAAUGGCACUGCCCGGUAGCUAAAUGCGGAAGAGAUAAGUGCUGAAAGCAUCUAAGCACGAAACUUGCCCCGAGAUGAGUUCUCCCUGACUCCUUGAGAGUCCUGAAGGAACGUUGAAGACGACGACGUUGAUAGGCCGGGUGUGUAAGCGCAGCGAUGCGUUGAGCUAACCGGUACUAAUGAACCGUGAGGCUUAACCUU